Capsicum annuum is the source of this 562-nucleotide long non-coding RNA. RefSeq lists it as uncharacterized. The transcript has 2 exons. Lineage: Eukaryota; Viridiplantae; Streptophyta; Magnoliopsida; Solanales; Solanaceae. The record is from RefSeq and is a predicted model, not a curated record.
CUUCAUCACAACAACAAAUGAUAUGCCUACGGGCCUUUUCACUGUACAAUUUGCCAUCAAUAACUAGAUUAUCAUUGGUUGGGGAUGUUUUAAGUCCAAUUUCUUGAAAACUACAAGAGGCAUAAAAUUAAUACUAGCACCCAAGUCACAAAAAUCUCUGGCAAAUCUAGGUGAUCCAAUCGUUCAAGGAAACUAGGUUUUGAAGCUAAAAAGGAAGAAAAGAGUUGAAGUGUACAGAUUAUCCCACAUACGAUCUCACUUACAGGCCAUAAAUGGCAGUUACGACCACUGUAAUUAGUAUUUAUGACCACUGUAUGUGGCCUCAUAAGUAUAAGAAGAAAAAUAUCUGAGAUUCUGAAGUUUGGAAAAUUGGUCCAGGAGUUAUGUCACUUCUUAUGGGGCAUAAGCAGUACUUAUGCCUACUUUUUAGUGCAAUAUUAGGUAGGUAUUCUGAAGCUAUUCAAGUUGUCUUACACUUACAACCCACCUAGGGGUCCGUAAGUACAACUUACAGCCCAUAAAUUGGUCCAUAAGUGGUCACUGACCUAGUUUUCCUUAUUUA